AAAAUAUUUCAGAUAGGCAAACAAAUUUUUCAUAUUAAAAAAAUUUAGAAAAUUAAGUAGGUAAAAAUUACCAAAAGAUAAACAAUAUCUUCAAAUCUCCUUCCAUGAUUUAUGUGAGUUUGUUUCUUUGUUUUUGCUAGGGGCCUACAGCAUGUGGAAGGAAGUUCUAGGGCCAGGGAUUGAAUCCAUGACCCAGCUGUGCCCUGCAACACAGCUGCAGCAACCCUGGUUCCUUAGCCCACUGCACCACACGGGUACUUCCUUAUUUGCAUUUUUGAAAUGGAAAAUCACGUAGAGGUACAAUUAGUGAGCGUUAUUAUGUGCCUGACACUUUUCUUAUUUUAAAUCCCUGCUUGUAUCCUCCUUACAACUCUGAGCAGUGAAGGUCUGUUAUUGGCUGUGGGAGCUGAGGCUUAGAGAGGUGAGAUUACUUGCUGGGGCCACACAGCUCUUUACUAGAGAAUGAACCCAGUCUGAUUCCAGAAUUAAAGCGCUGGACUCCAGGGUUUUAUUGCUUUUUCUUUAAGGUUUUUGUUUGAAUUUCUUUUAUUAAUCAUUUCAGCAUACCUUGAGAUCCCUUCCUUUGAAGGGCUUUUAACUCAAAUUGAGGUCUCUCUUCAUUGCAAUGAUGGUUGAGCCUCCAUGUAAUUGUUCUGCUAUAAACAGAUUAACAUGCUUAUGUCCUAGUGCCUGCUGAAGGCAACAUAAAGAUACACUCAUGCAUUCAUUCAUUCAUUGACUUGUUCAUUUGUUCUCUUGGUAAGUAUUACACUGUCAGGUAGGUUCAAGGUACUAUUUCCCUCAGUGGGUGUAUAGCAGUGGACAGAACCAUUCCCUGGUCUUAUGAGGCUUUCAUUCUAGUAGAGAAGUCAGAAACCAAAUAGGUAUACAAUGUGUCUUAACGGUGGUGAGUGGUAUAGAGAAAGUAAAUCAGGGUCAGGAAAUGGUGAGUGUAAGUGAGGGAUGUGCAUUUUUUACAUUAAAGAAGAAAAGAACAGUAUGACCUGAAGCUGGGCAUCAGGAAAUAUGGGGGAAGAGCAUUCCAGGAAGAGAACAGCAAGUGCAAAGGCCCUGUGGUGAGAGCCUCUUCAUUAAAAAAAAAAAAAAAAAAAAAAGCCCAUCGUUCCUGUGAAUCUGUGCUUACAUAUUCCUUCCUGAUUGGAUUAUCAUCCAUAUCUCUGAAGAGAAUAUCAGUGUCAAUCUGUAUUAAAUGAGAAAGUGCCAGAUAAUUUAAUCAUGGCCCUUCUGGUUCCAAAGAUUCAGUAAACAUGGAACAUAGCCCAAAAGAUCUGUUCAGUGAUUCUGCCUCUAACAUACAUCCCUUUGUAGCCAACUGUGUGGUUUAUUUUUAGUGGGCUAUAGUCUUAUCCUAGAUAUUGGAAAUCAAGUUUCUAAAAUGUUCUUCUCCUGUGCGGUGGUUAUAAGAGAAUGAGACUCUGGUAUCCUUGUCUCUGGUUACCCAUUUAGAGCAAAUAAAAAGGAUUGACUGUGUGAUUUGAAAAUGAGUAACUGUUGCAUCAUGGCAGAGUAAAACAUCCUUGAACUGUUUUAAUCUCUCAUGUAAAAGAUUCCAUAUCCUUCAAUAAAGUGAUAGCAGAUGCCCUAUUAGUAAAAUGUACUUUGCAAUAGCAUUGCCAAUUGUUGAUAUCAAUCAAUUGGAAAUUAUAUUUUCUUAAGGAGAAGUCAUCUGAAAUCCACAAUUUCUUGCUGGACAUUCAUAGCACAAUGUAUAUUUAAAGCUCUUGUGAAUGUGCACGUGGUGACGCUUCUGAGAAAGCCUGAUUAACUGGUUUUCAGCUUGCCAGAUUAUUAUUUUAAAACUACUUCUAGUUAAGGAGAAUAUAAAGGCAUCAGAAACCCACUCAGAGCGGUUCAUUUCUGAUAUCCCUCCACACGGAAUAAACAAUACAACCGAUUUGAGUCUGAAUUGUCCCCGAAAUAUUUCCUUUCUGCUUGGCAGCCCUGUGCAGGAAAUUUCCGCCUGUUGCAAACUGAAAGUCUUGAAGUUGCCAGCCCCCCUGGAGAAAGGUUCUGAUAACAGGGACGUUGUCAGAACCCUUAGCUCUGCUGCACACUGCCGGGAGCCUCUGGAAUAACAGGGAAGGAGCUCUUGGCAGCGGUGAGGGGCCCUGCUCAAGUCCUCUCUCCUGAUGAGGAAGGAAAAGGACAGUGAUCAAGCAGAGGGUCGCAUAGGAGGUCUUAGAUCACCCUGUAACAUGAAGAAUGAAUGCAUACAGGCUGCCAGGGAAGCAGUCAGAAAGCUUCCGAAUUGUCCAGAGACUGGUAAUUCUUGUGUGAACACCCAGGUGACAGGGGACCUACCUAUUCCUUAUGGAUCAGACAGGACCCAAGUUCACUGAAGCUAAUAGGAAAUGCUGAAAUGGAGAUGUUUUUGGUCUCUAUUUUUAAAGCAAGAAAAUGUAUAUAUAUGUAUGUAUAUGUAUACACACACACACACACACACACACACACACACAUCUUCUGCAUCUUACAACCCUGCUAUCACAUAUGGCCUUUGCGGACAGAGUAUUGUGUGUUGUUUAGUCUUGGAACUUCUUUUAAAGAUAGGAUGUCAUUUACAAUCUUCGGGCCAUAUGUUUACUCAGACUUAAGAAACACGGGCUAAUCUUUUUCUAUUUUGAGGAGUAAUAAAUUGAAAAGAUAAUUACAUAAUAUGGUGCAUAAUGUAACUCUGGCUUGAGCCAUAUGUGUUUAAUUUUAGAGAAACAUGCGUGAUGACAGGUUAUGAAAGGAUGAAACUAUUUUAGUCAUUUUAAGGAUUAGAAGCAUGAUUUAAAAAAAAAAAUAAGUGUCCCUUAUUGCUCCCCACCCCCUCAGAAAAAACAACCCCAUACACAAACCCAGUGCAGAACACCCUUCUGAAAGCAACUUGUUUCUGUGGUGGCCACUGGCAAAGAAAAUUCAAGUUAGAGGGCGCAUUAUUUCCAAGCUCUUGUAAAAUUAGAUGCAGGCUUCUGUGUGCUGGGAAACGGGUGGCAUGUUGUUCCUCAUGUAGGGGCAGAGUGGAGUUGCUGCAUUUCAAAUCAAGUAGAAAUUUCUCACGUGAAUAUCCAAUUAGAACACACACCGGGAGUUCCCGUCGUGGCGCAGUGGUUAACGAAUCCGACUAGGAACCAUGAGGUUGCGGGUUCGGUCCCUGCCCUUGCUCAGUGGGUUAACAAUCCGGCGUUGCCGUGAGCUGUGCUGUAGGUUGCAGAUGUGGCUCGGAUCCCACGUUGCUGUGGCUCUGGUGUAGGCCAGUGGCUACAGCUCCGAUUCAACCCCUAGCCUGGGAACCUCCAUAUGCCGCGGGAGCAGCCCAA
This 3323-nucleotide long non-coding RNA is filed under the name Sus scrofa (pig). Its description in RNAcentral is "lncRNA (ENSSSCG00050038481.1)". Lineage: Eukaryota; Metazoa; Chordata; Mammalia; Artiodactyla; Suidae. The record is from RNAcentral.